Molecule: long non-coding RNA, 4447 nt
Organism: Oxyura jamaicensis (ruddy duck)
Lineage: Eukaryota; Metazoa; Chordata; Aves; Anseriformes; Anatidae
Exons: 3
Source: RefSeq, a predicted model, not a curated record
GUUCAGCCCAGGUCAGCAAGCCGUGUCUGCAGAUAAAGAGCUAUUCUGGUAAAGUGAGCUCACAGUGGACGUGUAAAUGCAAUAAAACCUAAAAUUUGUAUAAUGUAUACCCAUGACCGAGUCUUCUCUCCCUAAGAAUCAAAGUUUCUAACCUGUUUUUUGAAGUGAUCCUCCUUAAAUUAAAAAAAUAAGACAAAGCUGCAAGUAAACAAAUGGGCCAGUCCAACAUGGAGGCCCUGGCAGCUCUGCCGUGGGGGAGCCUGGUGCUCAGCUGCAGAUGAUGACAGAGCUGAGGAGAGACACCACCCGCCUGCUCACAGCCCCAGCCUGUUAAUCUGAAACUGCUGCACCCCAGUCUUGGGCUGGUUUUUAAAUAGCAAGUGAAGAGGGAAGCCAUGCUUCUGUGGGGACUGAGGGAGCCGAGUCUGAGAUAGCGCAUGGAUGGAAAAGGCUGCUGGGACUGCAGCCCUCCUCUUCCCAUCGCCCAGGUGUUGUGAAUAGGCCCUGUGUGCUUUGGCUUUAAAGGGUGUUUGUUGGAUUUGCCCCAUUGCUCCAGCAGAAGCUGCGCUGCUCAGUAAGACCUCAGAGGAGCACUUCUAGGGUCAUGGGAGUGGGGUUAGUCCCUGGUCCUGAAAAAUAAGGUGGAAUGACCACCUAAAAUGGUCUUUUCCAGACCCGAAGGAGAUCGUGAUUUUAAGCACGGCGAGGCAGGGGCUGUCUCUGAGGCACAGAGAGCCUCUGAUCUCACUGGUGUCCUUGAAGUGAUGUGUUAUAAACAGAAAAGAAGGAGGGAAGAGCCCAGGCCUCAUCGUCAGAGAGCACACAAACUAUUUUUGCAGGCAGGAAACCUUACCAGGCCCAAUAGCUUGGACCUGGAUGUGCCUCUGAGAGGUAGCCAACCUUUCCUAGAACUAACCUUUUGCACUCUUGCUGUUGAAAUCCCCAUGCUGACAUCCUAACCCUGCUGGAGUGCAGCCUUUUCAUUUCUUGGAUGUGCCAGCAAGCUCUUUAUUAUUUUUUUUCCCUUCCCACAGUCGGUCUAUUCAGUCCCUCUCAGAACAGGCUGUCCUGCUGGGACGUUUCAGUGCAAUUAGAUAUUAGGUGUCAGGAGCAGAUAAUGGGCAAACGCGUAUCAGGGGAGAUGGCACUUAGCUAAUCUCUGGCUCUCUUUAUCUAACAGGCUAUUUCAGGGAAAAACAACAACAAUGCAAGAAAGCUCCCACUGUAGCGUCUGUGUCUGAGACUGGCUGCUGGUGCUUUGGGGUUGUGUCGGUAUUUCCACCCAGGCUUCACUUGGUGCUUUCCCAGCAGCCUUGUUUUCACAGCUGCCCCAUGACCAGGCAGGAGCCCGUAAAUGAUUGUAGCCACAGCUCUUGCAAGACCUCGUUGUUGGCACAUCUGUUUUCUGCUGGAUCACUUUGCUGUUGUCUUGGUUGUUUCCCCGGGCAAGCCAAGAACCUAGGUAUGGGAGCGUGUGGGAAAAGGAGAUGAGCUAUUAGGAUAAUUAGCAUCGUCCAUGAAACCUCAUUUUAGAGGCCUGUUACAUCAAAAGUAUUUAGGGUUGAAGUUGCAUCUUUAAGCAUUUUAGUGAGUUUGAGCACUUGACUGUGUAUCUCCAGCAUCUGCCUAGUUUAGGUGUCUUACAUCAUCUUUCUGGGAUCUGUUUCAGAAGCAGGAAAAAAAAAAAGUAUGUUAAAUAAAACCUAGGAUGGCUGACCUUACACACUCGGAUUAUUUUUUUUUUUAGUGUUCUCUGCCUGAAACGAAUUAGCUUGUGCUAAUUAGCCCUAAAUGGUGAAUUGCUAGGGAGGCAGCUGUGGAUGCAGUCAGACACCAAAAUCUCGUUCCUGGUGAAAUGAGAGGCCAGGUGAGCCUGUCCAGUUGGCACGGGUGUUGUUACUCUGAAGACCUGUGCUGGGUACCCCAGCUGGUUACAACAGGAGAAAAAGCAGGAGAGGCUAUAUAAGCAUGAAGGCUUUGGGAAAAUAAAGAGAAAUAAAAACGCCAUCUUCCUGCUCGCUGCUGUCCCACACAAAAAAGAAAAUCUCACCAUGUAACUCCUGAAUUACAGGAAUUCCUGGAGCCCCAGCAAACUCUGUCUAAUCUCUCCCAGUCCCUCACGUAUCGCCUCUGAAUGUUUUCAGUGAGUUCCCAGACCUCGUGCUUUCUUGCUCCUGAUAACUAGCCAUUGCUGGGAUGCCAGAACCACUGCACUGCAUAGUUCAGCUAUCAACAGAAAUAUAGUGAGAUAAAGGGGAUGGUUAAUACCAGAGUGUCUGGGGUAAUGCAGAUGUCAGAGAUACUCAACUGGCUUUCCCGGACGAGUUCUUUAAACGGGUCAAGUUACUUUGGGAAAAUAGUAUCUAGCUCUUUUGAAAGUGUGAACAUCCACAAGAACAUCAUGCGGAUAUUUCCUCCUGUUGAAGAGUCAGGCAUCCAUCAAAUACAUCCAUAGUGCUUCGGAGCCUUGGCAAAGUAACGCCACCUCAUCCGGGACUUUCUGAAGAUAGCCUCCUGGGCACUGAGCGGGUUUGGAAAGCUCCGAGUGGAACUGAAGAUGAAAAGCUGGCCCGAAUGCAGGGCAACGAGUUCCUUUGAGAAUUAAGUCCAUAAAAAAAAUGAAAUCUGAUAGAGGAGCUGAAGGAUUUAUUGAAAUGGAUGAGCAAUUGUAGGAUCGCAGAUGCCAAAGAGGAAGAAUAGGGCUGUUGGGUCUUCCUGCCAGGUCAGGGCUGUCUAGUCCAGCAACCUGGUCUGUUGUUUCCAUUGAGGGCUUCCAUUGCUUCCCUUCUGAGACCAUUGUGUUUCCUGAUAGGAAAACGUAGUAACAAUGAGAUCUGACUCCCAGGGUAAAUUUUUUGUCCAUCUAAUUGCUGGCUAAUAUUCUUAGUCAUUUUAAUGGGAAGUAUGUACUCCAAGAAGAGAGAGAAGGGAUUUCUUGGGGCCCUCAGAUGAUGUGCCAUUGCCAAUGGCACUUUCACCAGCGUGAAAAUCUUGCUUCUAGCUUUGGAAUGUCUUUAAGCUCUGGUGAACUCAUGAAUGAAAUGAGUGCUCAUCCCUCCUUCUGAGCCUCAUCAGUGGGAUGUUCUGGCUCUUUGUGCCCAAAUAACCCGGUGUAAUGCACUACUGGGUGUGUCAGAGCAAAUGUGCUCUUGGCAUGUGGAAAGUGCAGGGCAGAACAUGAAUUUGAGAUAAAACUUCCGCAUUUGAGGCGGAUCCCACUGAGCAGUGGUGGCUUGAGCACAUUUGGGAGUUUAUAGCUGCUAUGGGUAUGGGUCCAGAGGGUGACUGGAGACGCUCAUGCUUGAGAAGCUCUGGAGAAGUGCAAAAUGAUAAUGGUUAUGCCAGCCCAGGACUUUAUCCGGGACUUUAUCUGGGACUCUUAUCCCUUUGCACUGAGUCGGGGAAGCAAAGGCAGGAAAGAGGAGACUGCAUUUAUUCCUCCAUUCAUGGGGAUGCUGCACGCCCCCAUUUAUAGAGGGGGCUUGGUCUCAGCUGUGAAGGCAGCUGCCAGUCUGCCCCUUCUGACUGUUAUUUAAUGCUUGUUAAAGGAACUCACCCUUUAGUUUAGAUUCAGCAUUUCACUCGAUAGCUUUCUGUGCAGCCACCGGGGCUGGGAAAAGGGAGGGAAGAGGAAUCCCAAGAGCAGUAGCAAGACAGAGGAGAAUAGCCAGGGAAGGGAAAAAAAUAUAAGGACAUUGUUUCUAACAGCACUUAGUGGCCUAGAUUUUCUUUUCACAGCUAUUUCAAAAGUCUGCUUUAUUGUCGACCCAUUCAGCUUUUAUUGGUAUAUAGUACACUGGGUAGCAGCAGCCACCGUUGUCUGCAUGGCUCUUAACAUGAUACUCUGCCAGAUGGCAAGAAUAUAAACCUGCGUUUGUACUCUGGGAUUGAUCAAAGUUUUUUGCUGUUGUCACCCCUGUAACAUUGUCACAGAUGUAAGGCUACUACACCCUGGCUCUCAUCCCCGCUACCUCCCCGUGUAUAAGUGCAGUACAGUGCCCCUUUUCACAGAGAUAUAAUGCCCGCAUUCCUUACAUCCCAAGGAUAACCCCGUGCAGGGGAGGAUGCACUGCGAGGUUUCACCAGGAGGUUUUUAGACAAGGGUUGUGCACAGGCGUGUGCAGGGAGUGAAGCUGCCUGGGGGGGUAGACCUCUAGUAGAUGGAAAUCAGCAGCCCAGCUACGUAACCGUGCCGAGCUACUCCAGGGCAGAACCCAGCCUGGGAUCUCAGCAGGAAUCCCAGAAAGGAAAGGGAUUUGGGAGCGAUUAAAAAAAAAAAAAAUACGCAAGGCAAUGUUCAGUGGUUUGGGAUUAACAAAACUUGAUGGAAGAGAGAAGCUGUCUUGGAAGGGGAGUGGGACUGUGCCUCUGUCACGGGCAAAGAGAAAUCCCACUCUAUGCGGGGAAGAGAUGCAGGGGUCCUCCUCCUUGAAGAUUGCUGAGGUCA